AGAGGCAGUAGCUGGUAUGGUUCAUAGCUCAAUAAAUGUGGCAAGUAGCCUGAGGGAAACUAUUCUUUUUGCAGCUCUGAAGACAAGUUUGGGGAGGCUUGCCUGAUCUGGAAUCGAUGAGGUUUGACUACUUCGGUUCAUCUUGCUUCAGUUUAUUCUUGAAGAUGACAGUGUCUUCCAUUAGAGAAGGCUGUGGUAAACAAUCCACAACUUCAAGUUCCUCUUCUCUCCCUUGGAGUACAUCGUCCCACAUCAGUGAAAGCAGAAGAAUAGCUUCCAGGAGACUCCUGGUCUACUGAAAACAGAAAGUAUAUUAAACUAUGUUUGUUUUUUAGGAGCUGCACUUUUUUUCCUGCGGAAAGGCACGGGA
Long non-coding RNA from Apus apus (common swift), 370 nucleotides. RefSeq lists it as uncharacterized. The record is from RefSeq and is a predicted model, not a curated record. Lineage: Eukaryota; Metazoa; Chordata; Aves; Apodiformes; Apodidae. The transcript is spliced from 4 exons.